CAGGUCAGCAUACUGCCGUGAAUACGUUCCCGGGCCUUGUACACACCGCCCGUCACACCAUGAGAGUUGGGAAUACCCGAAGCCUGUGAGCUAACUGUAAGGAGGCAGCAGUCGAAGGUAGAAUCAAUGAUUGGGGUGAAGUCGUAACAAGGUAUC
Molecule: ribosomal RNA, 156 nt
Filed under: uncultured bacterium
Lineage: Bacteria
Description: partial 16S ribosomal RNA
Rfam family: Bacterial small subunit ribosomal RNA
Source: RNAcentral